This 970-nucleotide long non-coding RNA is filed under the name Phasianus colchicus (ring-necked pheasant). RNAcentral describes it as "lncRNA (ENSPCLG00000018533.1)". The record is from RNAcentral. Lineage: Eukaryota; Metazoa; Chordata; Aves; Galliformes; Phasianidae.
CUCCCACACAGCUACUCGUUCCUCUGGUUUGUCCAGUGCAUCUUAAAGCUCAUAAGCUCUGUAAAACAUCAUGUACCGGAUGUGUAGAGCAGACCCUGACCUAGUAAGCUCCCUUGUCAUUGCUGCAGUACAAACAUUAUUAAUAAUAGCAAAACAAAACAAAUCAAAAACACAAAUUUUACAUUCAUCUUUAUUAACGUUCAUUGCCAAAGAUUUCUAACAGUCAUGAGUUACAGAAAAAAAUCUUCCAUCUAAUUUCAGUGUUCACAGAUGAGUAACUGCUAGAGAGUAAUAAUAUCCAUUACUAAAUGAGGAUGAGGAAGAGGAAAGUUAUUACUGAGUUAAAAUGAGUAACAAUGAACUCCAUUUUUAAAUAAAGCACUAACUACACAGAUGAUCACUGGUUUUUCCUGGACUUGUACCAUGACAGAAGUUCUUGGGCCUACAUCUUGAGGCAGAUCCCUCACAGUCAUCAGUCAUAUCUUCCACACUGAUUAAGUGGCUGCUGAAAGCUUUUUUGAACUAACUGAAUCCCAGGAGGUCUCCCAGAGAAGACCUCAUCUGAAAGAAGACCUCACUUACACCUUUCCUCCUCUGUGGAUAUGAAAAUACUGGAACAGAAGGAGAAAAGUGGAGGUAUCAGGCUGCGGAAGGUAUUGGUUCCCCUUCCUGCAGCUUAUUUGCCACUACAAGCUGCAGUGAAAAGCCUCCAGCUGCCCCAAAAGCCUCUGGCCCUCUUCCAGGCAGCAACCCAAGUGUCAUAGUAUUAUGAUUUUUUUUUUAUCAGUAUUCCACAUCGUAUACAUAUAACAUGAGCACUGGGAGUUAAAGAGCUAAUACUCUAGUUCCAUGGAUUGUCAAUAGUUCCGGCUAUACCUGUCUCAGAAGAACUACAUAUUCCCAGAGGACUUUUCACUGUUCUGUUUCUUGUUUUCAGAGGGAAAAAUAAAACUUCGCAGGUCAUGAGACA